CCACGCAGUUGAAAUUGAAUAUAGAUAGUUGGUAGAUUCAUUUUUUAACUCACAAAACUUCCUGAUGUUAAAGUCUACAAAAACUGGUUAUAAGUUAUAACUUAUAGUGUUGUCGAUCAGUUAUUGAAUUGAUGAAUGUGUUAAUCUUCCAGUUUUGAAUUGUGCUAUAUUUACUGGACUUUAUUUAUAGGAACUUUAACAAAUGAGUCGCUGUUUUUUUAUGUGAGUUAGGCCUAUUGCGAGAUUAGUUAAUAUACAAGUGAAACGUUUUCCAUUGCGCAAUUUUUACACAGUAAAGAAAAAUAACUUGCUAAGUGAUACUGAUAGAAACCGUUAGAACUUCCAACUUGAAAGUUUAAUCCAAGUUAUAGAACAUAGUUCAUUUGUUGUGUCGUUGUUCAAUUGUUGGCACACAAUAACCAUGGCAGAAAAAAAAUUUGAAGAAUUUAAAGUUUUUACUGACAGUGAAGAAGGACCCACUCGUGUUGGACCCCAGAAUAGAAAUCAACGCUAUAAAAUACCUCUUUUUCCUAAACAAGUCCAAUCUUCAUCAUUGUUACCACCUAAAUCACAGAGUUCCAUGACAACAGAGUCUUCAAGCAAAAAAACAGAAGGAAAUAAAGAAUCUAGCAAUCCUUCUUCCAAAACCAAAAUAUCGACACCACGUCCUCCCCCUUUUCUAAAAUGAUGUUUAAACAUUGAUAUUGGUGCUGUUCCAAUGUUUGUGAUUUUCAAUCUACAUUGCAAAACAUAUGUUUUCAUUACAAUUUAUUGUAAUUGAAGAAAAAAUCUUGAUAAGUUAUGUAUAUACAUAUUUUAUACUUUGCACAAACAAAAAAUAAUAUAAUUUUACUGGUAGUACUAAAGAAGUGACCAUUGACUUUUUAUUUGUUUUUACAUGUUUUACAAAUAGUGUUGCUUUGAAUAUAAGAAUUAAAAAGGUAAUAUCUUUUAAAGUUGAAAUACACUAAAGUGUACAAAUAUUUUUAUGUAUUUCAUUAUCUAUGGUUGUUAGUUUAUUGUGUACCUUAUCAAAGUUAGAUAUAAUUUCAAUGAAUUCUAGGAUAGAACUGGGUGACUUAAUUAUCUUUGAGUAGCAAUUACAUUGAUUAGUGUCUCAUAAACUAAUCUGUUAAUCAAAAUUACGAUUAGGUUGUCACAAAAAUAAUAAACUUGUUUGUUGUUAAGCACAAAGCUACAUAAUGAGUUAUCUGUGCUGUGCCAAAUUUUAGCCUUGUAAAUUUUUUUACUUCAAGUUUGCUUAGAUUUGAGAGGGGGGGAGGCUGCUUCGAUUCCAACUACCACCAAACUUUCUUGUCCCAUUUUUGUUAUGGCACAGUUACUGAAGCUAUCUGCCACUGAUUUUGAAUUAUUGACUUUUUUCCUCCCCUAAUUGGAUUGCUAAUCCUUUUUUUGUUUGGUUCAUUGUUGGUUAUGUUCCAUGGUUUGAAGAACACUGUACUAAGUACUAACUGAUUAACGGGUCUCUGAAUGAAUUGAUUAACAAAUACCAUUAAUGUAUACCAGUUGUACUCCAUGAUGUACAAAAUCAGUGUUAAUUUUUCAUCUGUUUAAUACACAACACUUUGAUCUAUUUUUAGGUCAUUUUUUCUCAAAUGACUUUAUCCCAUCCAGGAUUCUUAUCUUCAAGGAAAUGUUUUAAUGUGUAUAUUCACAAUCAUAUAUGCUAAAAGUGUAGAAUAAAUCUAAAGGAUUAUAGUCAGUUUACUUACUAAUAAUUUAAACACCCAAAUUUUAUUUAACUUCUAAUGUAUUACAGUUUAUUGUUCAAUGGUUUGAUAUUUGUAUAUCCAUGGAUGUUGAGACCCAUUACACGAGGUGAAUCCGGUUUAUGGAUAUGUUUUUUCACAGAACUAUGCAUUUCAAUACCAAAAUAAAACAAUAUUUUAAGUUUUAACUACACUUAGAAAAUUGUAUUGCAAAUAACUUGCAUCAAUGAAUUGCAGAAAGUCCUUACGGAGAACAUUUCAAUGAUUAAGUUCUUAUUCUGGUCCUUUCUUUACACUUUCACAACUGAAGAUGGCAUUGCAUUCAUUUUCUGACUAAGAGCUAAUUUUGUUAGCAAGAGAUUUCAGCAUUUUAACGUGGAAUUCUUUCCGAGAAUAGACAAUGAUGGGGAAGAAACUGGAAGUAGGCACAUCAUCACAUUCAUUUGGACAGUGGUUGGUAAUGCCACUGUUGUUGUAGGUUCUUAGAGUUAUAGUGCUCAUUUACUUGAUUCCAAAGCUUUCUAGUGGUUGAUUUAAUAUAUUCUUAGCUGUAUAUUGGGCAUGUGAAUUCAUAUACUACUAGUGAGGUGUUUUAAUGAAUGUUAUCUUUAAAGAUGGAGAGCCCUUUUUUCCUUCUGUUUUAGAGACACAUUUUAACUGAACUUGUGGAUAUAACUUUUUAAUAAUCUACUUGAUAAUGUAUCAAAUAUUUCCAAAGUAUAAGUAACAAUUUUCAUUAGAAAAUUUAAGGUAACAGAUGAGGUAUUUAAUUUUUCAGUUUUGGUGUGAAUUAUUUAUGUAAUAAUAACAGAAAAUUUCUUCUCAGCUUUAACUUUAUGCUUUGAACUUCUGCUUCAAAAAGGCUUGAUUUAUUGAUACUUUAAACACUAUAUAGCAUGGUUUUAACCAGACUUUCUUUAAAGACAGAUAACAAUGAUUUUUGAGGUCAAAUUAAUGUAACUGUUUAUCUCUACUCUCAGUCAAAGCUUUAUUGUUACAGUUUAUGUUUUUUAACUUUAAAAUAUCCUAGAUCUAGGGGGUUAACAAUAUUUUUCAGUUGCUUUAGAAUUUCUUCAAAUUGUUUCUUUCAAGUUUUAAUUUGCAGACUUUAUCUUUGAUUUUUAAGUCUUAGAAAUUUAUUUUGAGAUUACUUGUAAUCUCUAAAUGAACACCAUUCAGUAAUGGAAAAUGAAAAAAUUUUGAGAUUUUAUUCGUUUUCAAGCUCACAUUUUCAUGCAACAACUUGUGUUGUUUGAUAUGAACUCUAGUUUUCUAAAAUUUCAUAUGCAUAUACUUUUUGUUUUUUAAUUAUGGAUGGAACUGCAGCAGUCUGUAUUUGGUGUUAGAAAAUUCUGAAAGCAAGAAAUUGGAGCUCAAACAUGUAGUGACACAAAAAUAUGAAGUCAUUUAUAAAUGACUUGUGUGAUUCUACCUUAUUUUUAUUUUGAAAUGAAUUGAGUUUAGGGCCGUGUUCUUGAUUGAAUAUGAAGUCGAUGAGAAUUUUAUGUUUAAUGGCAAGUUUUCUCCAAGUGUGAAUUAUUUUUGAAUUGAUUUCAGGGAUGAAGGGUAAACUGUAGUGUAAUGUUGAGUUGUUGUUUGGUUUAUUAGUGCAAUUUUGUUCAUUGGUUAAUAUUUGAUAUUUUUGUUCUGGUGAUGGUGUAAGAAUUCUUCAUAAAUCAUAAAUCAAUUAAUCGGAAUUACGAAGAGGAAGUGAGCUUUCAGUCGUAACCAGACAAACUCCAAAGUGCAAGAAGUACAACAAACUGAACCUAGCAUUAUGGGGUCAUGACAUUACCUCGACUCAAGCGUAAGAACCUGGUAAAGCUGUAAUUGGUAUUACAGACAAAAUCAUAACUCACUCAACCGUAAAUGCAGAGCAGGGACAUUCUGAAUUAGGAAUUACGAGGAGGGCAUGGAACACUCUCCCAACCAUAGGAAGAAAGCACAGACAUCCUGUUGCUAGCAUUACAAAUUAGACAAUGUCUCCUAAACAUAACCAUAGAAGUAGAGAAAGUACCUUCUACAACCAGAAUUAAUGAAUUUAUGCCUGAACCCGGCAUUAUGCCUGGAUCCCGUGUAUGCUGGACCUGCUGCUACUAGUUUAAUUUAUUAUUCUGUCUAUUGUUUUCCACCUUGGAAAAAGCAUCCAAGGGAAAUGGAAGGAGGGAAACCAGCUUUGCCCUUUUCUCACUGAGUAGAUAAUCAUGAGCAUGCAUUGUAAAAUAAAUUUCUAAACUCACUCAGAAGGAAGCCUCCAUAGUCCACCAUCCCAGUGACCGGAAACUGAGAAGAGUUGGGACUAUCAUGCUCUACUAGAAGAAAAAGGUGAAUGCAGUGGGGAGUUUGGAGGAAUAUCACACUGGAGACAGUGCAUUGGUGUCUGCAAUUCCUUAUUUUGAAAAGAAGACCUACCCCAAUUUAUUCAAUCAAAGGUUUGGAAGGGAUGGGCAAAAUUCCCUUCUGCUUUGCUCAUGAAAUCCAUGAGUGAUAGUCCACCAUAGAUUGAAAUUGAGUGAUAUCUAGUACACACACACACACAAAUAUAUAUAUAUAUAUAUACAUACACCACUGGGUAAGCAACCAGUGGUCUCAUGAAAACACCCCUUCUCUGCAGUGAGUGUUAUAUAGCAACUCUGAACUAGUGUGAGUUUGAGUCAAAGCAUUCCUGACUAAGCAACAUGUGCCACAGAGUGGGAUCUUUAUAGCAGUAGGGGUGCUGAAAAGAAGGGAUAAGACUUACCCCAGUCAAAGGUUAGUGGACGUGUGUAAAAUUGCCAUUGGAAGAAUGAGCAAUGGAAGUAUUAGGAUGGCAAAGAUUUGGUUUGGUUUGAAUUUUUUGCAAAACUACACAAGGGCUAUCUUUGCUAGCCAUCCCUAAUUUAGCAGUGAAAGACUAGAAAGAAGGCAGCUAGUCCUCACUACCCACUGAUAACACUUGGGCUGCUCUUUUAACAAAGAAUAGUGGAAUUGACUAUCACUUUAUAAUGCCCCAUAGCUGAAAGGAUGAGCAUGUUUGCUGAGACAGGGAUUUGGACCCACAACCCUCAGAUUGCGAGUCAGGUACCCUAACCACCUGACCAUGUUGGAUGGACAGCAAAGGCGAGCAGCCAAAGACAUAGUAAUGUUACGAAUUUGAUGUAAAGAGAUGUUGUAGAGAUUGUGACUUUCCAUGAAUAAGUCUGAAUACACCAGCCUUAUGAGUUGAUGAACCCAACCAAUGGGAGUGACAGAUCAUGGGAAACAGAAGGGCUCUAGGAAAUAAUACGUCGGGAACAUGAAUCCCGAAAUGAGGCAGUAUGUGCCACAUAACACCUUAAGGAGAAAACCAGACAAAGAAGCCUAUCUGGAUUGAAAUGACAGUACAGGUGGGAAAAAGAAGGUAAGGAAAUGGGUGAGAAAGCCAAACCACCUUCUAAAGCAGCAUAGAUCUUAGGGAGGAAGGGCUAGUCAGGGUAGAGGAUAACAUAAGAGAAAUGGUAAAGGAUAAAAGAAACAUUAAUGGCAUAAAUAUCCAAACAACGAUGCUCACAAGCAAGGAGGAUGAGGAAAUAGGUCUUGAGGAAGAGAUGUUACAGGGAACACAAAGCCAGUGGUUAAAAGGGGAAACAAGAAAGGGUAUAGAGGACCACAUUAAGAUCCUAAUCUGAUAAAACAAAGACACAUGGAGGGUGAAUGAUAUGGAAUUUGAAAUUGGAGCUCAAACAUGUAGUGACACAAAAAUAUGAAGACUGAAAAUUUUUAAAUAUUUCUCUUUCCAAUUAAGAAGUUAAACUUAGAUAGUACAUAAAUUUGAUUUAUAAACCAUAUUUUCAUGCCAAUUUAUGGACAUAUAUUGAUAAUAAAGAUGGUUAAUUUAA
RNAcentral lists this long non-coding RNA (5587 nucleotides) under Limulus polyphemus (Atlantic horseshoe crab). RNAcentral's name for it is "uncharacterized LOC111085481". The record is from RNAcentral. Lineage: Eukaryota; Metazoa; Arthropoda; Merostomata; Xiphosura; Limulidae.